Molecule: ribosomal RNA, 486 nt
Filed under: uncultured prokaryote
Description: bacterial SSU rRNA
Rfam family: Bacterial small subunit ribosomal RNA (bases 1-419)
Source: RNAcentral
UUGAGUAACACGUGGGUAACCUACCCGAAAGACUGGGAUAACACCCCGAAAGGGGUGCUAAUACCGGAUACCUUUAUAAGUUUGCAUGAACUUAUAAAGAAAGUUUUUUCGCUUUCGGAUGGGCCCGCGUCCCAUUAGCUAGUUGGUGAGGUAACGGCUCUCCAAGGCGACGAUGGGUAGCCGGCCUGAGAAGGUGGACGGCCACACUGGGACUGAGACACGGCCCAGACUCCUACGGGAGGCAGCAGUAGGGAAUAUUGCGCAAUGGACGGAAGUCUGACGCAGCGACGCCGCGUGAGCGAUGAAGGUCUUCGGAUCGUAAAGCUCUGUCCUUGGGGAAGAGGUGAAAGCUUGACGGUACCCAGAAGAAGCCCGGCUAACUACGUGCCAGCAGCCGCGGUAUACGUAGGGGCGAGCGUGUCCGAAUACUGGCGUAAGGGUGCGUAGCGGCCUUUAGCUGGAGUAAGCCGCGCUACCCGAUGGUAG